RNAcentral lists this ribosomal RNA (1506 nucleotides) under uncultured organism. RNAcentral's name for it is "bacterial SSU rRNA". It matches the Rfam family "Bacterial small subunit ribosomal RNA". The record is from RNAcentral.
AGAGUUUGAUCCUGGCUCAGAACGAACGCUGGCGGCGCGUUUUAAGCAUGCAAGUCGAACGGUAAGCACGGUGCUUGCACUGUGCUGAGAGUGGCGAACUGGUGAGUAACACGUAGGUGAUCUACCUUGAGGCCUGGGAUAGCCUGUGGAAACACAGGGUAAGACCGGAUGAGACCCUGUACUUGCGGGUAGAGGGGGAAAGGUGCUAUGGCACCGCCUUAAGAUGAGCCUGCGUCCCAUUAGUUAGUUGGUGGGGUAAAGGCCUACCAAGGCGACGAUGGGUAGCCGGCCUGAGAGGGUGAUCGGCCACACUGGGACUGAGACACGGCCCAGACUCCUACGGGAGGCAGCAGCUAAGAAUCUUCCGCAAUGGACGAAAGUCUGACGGAGCGACGCCGCGUGAACGAAGAAGGCCGGAAGGUUGUAAAGUUCUUUUGCGGGUGAAGAAUAAGGCGAGGAGGGAAUGCCUCGCUGAUGACGUUAGCCUGUGAAUAAGCCCCGGCUAAUUACGUGCCAGCAGCCGCGGUAACACGUAAGGGGCGAGCGUUGUUCGGAAUUAUUGGGCGUAAAGGGCGUGUAGGCUGUUUUGUAAGCCUGGUGUGAAAGUGCACGGCUUAACUGUGUAUGUGCGCUGGGAACUGCAAGACUAGAGUCCGGAAGGGGGAGGUAGAAUUCCUGGUGUAGGGGUGAAAUCUGUAGAUAUCAGGAAGAAUACGGUGCGAAAAGGCGACCUCCUGGUCCUGGACUGACGCUGAGGCGCGAAAGCGUGGGGAGCGAACAGGAUUAGAUACCCUGGUAGUCCACGCUGUAAACGAUGUGCACUAGGUGUUGGGGCAAGAGCUUCAGUGCCGAAGCGAACGCGAUAAGUGCACCGCCUGGGGAGUAUGCUCGCAAGGGUGAAACUCAAAGGAAUUGACGGGGGCCCGCACAAGCGGUGGAGCAUGUGGUUUAAUUCGAUGAUACGCGAGGAACCUUACCAGGGCUUGACAUAUACCGGGAGCCGUGAGAGAUCACGGUGCCCCUUUGGGGCCGGUAUACAGGUGCUGCAUGGCUGUCGUCAGCUCGUGCUGUGAAGUGUUGGGUUAAGUCCCGCAACGAGCGCAACCCCUACUGUCUGUUGCCAACAGGUCGUGCUGGGGACUCAGACGGAACUGCCGGUGACAAACCGGAGGAAGGUGGGGACGACGUCAAGUCAUCAUGGCCCUUAUGUCCUGGGCUACACACGUGCUACAAUGGCCGGUACAGAGUGAGGCGAAACCGCGAGGUGGAGCAAAUCACAGAAAACCGGUCUCAGUUCGGAUCGGAGUCUGAAACCCGACUUCGUGAAGGUGGAAUCGCUAGUAAUCGCGCAUCAGCAUGGCGCGGUGAAUACGUUCCCGGGCCUUGUACACACCGCCCGUCACACCACCCGAGUUGGGGGUACCCGAAGUCGCUAGUCUAACCGGUAACGGGGGACGGUGCCGAAGGUAUGCCUGGUAAGGGGGGUGAAGUCGUAACAAGGUAACC